GAGAGCUUUCAUCAUUUAAAACGUUUUAAUUUGUUAAAUAAAAAAAAAAAAUCAACUCCCAAUAAAAAAGGAAAUGCUACUUGUUCACAAUUCUCAAAGUAUUUUCUUUACAAAUCAAACAUGAAUAUGAGAAAGGAAAGGUUUCUCUGCAUGAGAAAUAUUUUACAAAUUGAUCAUUUUUUCCCUAAAAAAGGUGUACAAAAUAAAAUACUAAAACUGUACAUAUAUACAUAAAUUCAAUAGUAAAAUUGCAUAAUCAGCCUCAUUAUUAAAUCAUUAUUUUAAAUAUUCAGUAUUGAUCUUGUGCCUGUGUUGAUGAGCUCUGUGCAGAUCCACAACUAAAGCCCCUAAAACCUAGAUACACUCCUGUAACACACACAGACAUUUACACAUAGGAGGGGAAAAAAACACAUAUAUGGCCCUGCAAAGACAAAACAUUUGAGUGAUGAGUGCGAUUUGAGGCGUGUGAUACUCAA
Sinocyclocheilus anshuiensis is the source of this 476-nucleotide long non-coding RNA. RefSeq lists it as uncharacterized. The transcript is spliced from 3 exons. The record is from RefSeq and is a predicted model, not a curated record. Lineage: Eukaryota; Metazoa; Chordata; Actinopteri; Cypriniformes; Cyprinidae.